This 490-nucleotide ribosomal RNA is filed under the name uncultured bacterium. RNAcentral describes it as "bacterial SSU rRNA". It matches the Rfam family "Bacterial small subunit ribosomal RNA", at positions 15 to 507 of the family's 1533-position model. The record is from RNAcentral.
GAUCAUGGCUCAGAGUGAACGCUGGCGGCAGGCCUAACACAUGCAAGUCGAGCGGUAACACUUCGGGUGACGAGCGGCGGACGGGUGAGUAAUACAUAGGAAUCUGCCUAGUAGUGGGGGAUAACGUAGGGAAACUUACGCUAAUACCGCAUACAUCCUACGGGGGAAAGCAGGGGGAUCUUCGGACCUUGCGCUAUUAGAUGAGCCUAUGUCGGAUUAGCUAGUUGGUGAGGUAAAGGCUCACCAAGGCGACGAUCCGUAGCUGGUCUGAGAGGAUGAUCAGCCACACUGGGACUGAGACACGGCCCAGACUCCUACGGGAGGCAGCAGUGGGGAAUAUUGGACAAUGGGCGCAAGCCUGAUCCAGCCAUGCCGCGUGUGUGAAGAAGGCCUUAGGGUUGUAAAGCACUUUCAUUGGGGAGAAAGGCUGUUUGGUUAAUACCCAAGCAGAUUGAUGUUACCCAAAGAAGAAGGACCGGCUAACUCCGUG